RNAcentral lists this ribosomal RNA (301 nucleotides) under uncultured bacterium. Its description in RNAcentral is "partial 16S ribosomal RNA". It matches the Rfam family "Bacterial small subunit ribosomal RNA", at positions 509 to 807 of the family's 1533-position model. The record is from RNAcentral.
CAGUAGCCGCGGUAACACGAAGGGUGCAAGCGUUACUCAGAAUUACUGGGCGUAAAGCGUGUGUAGGUGGUUGUUUAAGUCUGUCGUGAAAGCCCUGGGCUCAACCUGGGAAUUGCGAUGGAUACUGGGCGACUAGAGUGCGGUAGAGGAUAGUGGAAUUUCCGGUGUAGCAGUGAAAUGCGUAGAGAUCGGAAGGAACAUCUGUGGCGAAGGCGACUAUCUGGGCCAACACUGACACCGAGACACGAAAGCGUGGGGAGCAAACAGGAUUAGAGACCCCCGUAGUCCCUGUCUCUUAUAC